AUUGGAGGGGCCAAGGUUUUGGUGGCCAGCAGCCCGGGGUAACUCCAAAUUCCAAGGAGUGUUUUAUGGGUGGAUGUUGCAGUUUAAAGGGUUCCGUAUUUCGGAAAGCCAAUUAAAAUGUCGUUUUUCAAAAGGGAUGAGUUUGCUGAUGUUUGCGGACCGGAUAGGGGAGUGUAGUAUAGACUGGGGAAGAAUGAAUUUUCAAGACCCAGUUUGGACUAAGGGAGGGGAAGGCGACACUCUUAGACGUAUUUUAGGAUCAAGGACGAAGGCAGGAGUUUGGAAAGUGAUUAGACACCGCUGUAGUUCCUGCAGUAAACUAUGCCGACAGCCUGUGUGUGAGAAUACGUGGGCGGGAGAAAUCUUAGUGUUCGGGCUCUGGGGAUAGUACGCUCGCAAGGGUGAAACUUAAAGCGAAAUUGACGGAAGGACACUACCAGGAGUGGAUUGUGCUGCUUAAUUUAACUCAACGCGGGAAAACUUACCAGGGUCAAGUCAUUCGUUGAUCGAAUACGUGAGAAUGGCAGGAGUGGUGCAUGGCCGUUGGAAAUUGAUGGGGCGACCUUUAGCUUAAAUGCUUAAACCAGUGAGACCUCCUUGACAGGUGUUCUGUAACACAGGAGGGUGGAGGCUAUAACAGGUCCGUGAUGCCCUUAGAUAUCCUGGGCAGCAAGCGCAAUACAAUAUCUCUUCAGUAGACAAAGUGAUUUGAGAUGAGUAGGAUCUACGUUUGUAAAUACGUAGUGAAUAAGGAAUUCCUAGUAACGGUGCCUCAUCAAGGCAUGGUGAAUGUGUCCCUGUUCUUUGUACACACCGCCCGUCACUAUUUCAGAUGGUCAUAGGGAUGAAGAGCUUCGGCUCUGAAUAUCUAUGGCUAGAUAAAGUACAAGUCGUAACAAGGUUUCAGUUGGAGAACCAGCUGAAGGAUCAUUU
RNAcentral lists this non-coding RNA (933 nucleotides) under Enterocytozoon bieneusi H348. RNAcentral describes it as "Microsporidia small subunit ribosomal RNA". It matches the Rfam family "Microsporidia small subunit ribosomal RNA", at positions 369 to 1311 of the family's 1311-position model. Lineage: Eukaryota; Fungi; Microsporidia; Enterocytozoonidae. The record is from Rfam by way of RNAcentral.